GAUGAACGCUGGCGGCGUGCCUAAUACAUGCAAGUCGAGCGAACGGACGAGGAGCUUGCUUCUCUGAUGUUAGCGGCGGACGGGUGAGUAACACGUGGAUAACCUACCUAUAAGACUGGGAUAACUUCGGGAAACCGGAGCUAAUACCGGAUAAUAUUUUGAACCGCAUGGUUCAAAAGUGAAAGACGGUCUUGCUGUCACUUAUAGAUGGAUCCGCGCUGCAUUAGAUAGUUGGUAAGGUAACGGCUUACCAAGGCAACGAUGCAUAGCCGACCUGAGAGGGGGAUAGGCCACACUGGAGGUUGACCGGGGUCAAGACUACUAAGGGAGGGAGCAGACGGGAACGGGACGCAAUGGGGGAAAGCAUGACGGAGCAACGCCGCGUGAGUGAUGAAGGCCCUCGGAUCGGAAAACCCUGUUAUGAGGGAAGAACAUAUGUGUAAGUAAAUGUGCACAUCUUGACGGUACCUAAUCAGAAAGCCACGGCUAACUACGUG
RNAcentral lists this ribosomal RNA (497 nucleotides) under uncultured bacterium. RNAcentral's name for it is "partial 16S ribosomal RNA". It matches the Rfam family "Bacterial small subunit ribosomal RNA", at positions 28 to 507 of the family's 1533-position model. The record is from RNAcentral.